RNAcentral lists this long non-coding RNA (212 nucleotides) under Bemisia tabaci. RNAcentral's name for it is "lncRNA ENSSSA2NGG010271". Lineage: Eukaryota; Metazoa; Arthropoda; Insecta; Hemiptera; Aleyrodidae. The record is from RNAcentral.
UUGUCGUUGGCCUAAAAGUAGAUUUUCAACAAAUUUCGCUUGGUUAUAUAGAUGAUUCAUUAUUAAUUCUUUGUAUUCUUAUUUCUGUUGCAGGUGAGGCCCACUUUUUCACAUGAAGUAACAAAACAGAUGACUAUACUUGCGCGCGCGACAGGUCUAGUUAACUCAGUCGAUAUUGUCGAAAUCCUCAUCGUGGCUCUUCCUUGACUGAA